AGUGAACGCUGGCGGUAGGCCUAACACAUGCAAGUCGAACGGCAGCACAGUAAGAGCUUGCUCUUACGGGUGGCGAGUGGCGGACGGGUGAGGAAUACAUCGGAAUCUACUUUUUCGUGGGGGAUAACGUAGGGAGACUUACGCUAAUACCGCAUACGACCUACGGGUGAAAGCAGGGGAUCUUCGGACCUUGCGCGAUUGAAUGAGCCGAUGUCGGAUUAGCUAGUUGGCGGGGUAAAGGCCCACCAAGGCGACGAUCCGUAGCUGGUCUGAGAGGAUGAUCAGCCACACUGGAACUGAGACACGGUCCAGACUCCUACGGGAGGCAGCAGUGGGGAAUAUUGGACAAUGGGCGCAAGCCUGAUCCAGCCAUACCGCGUGGGUGAAGAAGGCCUUCGGGUUGUAAAGCCCUUUUGUUGGGAAAGAAAAGCAGCAGGUUAAUACCCCGCUGUCCUGACGGUACCCAAAGAAUAAGCACCGGCUAACUUCGUG
RNAcentral lists this ribosomal RNA (492 nucleotides) under uncultured bacterium. RNAcentral describes it as "partial 16S ribosomal RNA". It matches the Rfam family "Bacterial small subunit ribosomal RNA", at positions 29 to 507 of the family's 1533-position model. The record is from RNAcentral.